RNAcentral lists this unclassified non-coding RNA (145 nucleotides) under fungal sp. Its description in RNAcentral is "partial internal transcribed spacer region". The stretch from base 1 to 46 matches the Rfam family "Eukaryotic small subunit ribosomal RNA", at positions 1786 to 1831 of the family's 1831-position model. Lineage: Eukaryota; Fungi. The record is from RNAcentral.
AAGUCGUAACAAGGUUUCCGUAGGUGAACCUGCGGAAGGAUCAUUGCAAAACGAGUGUGAGAUAUGUUGGAAUGUGUGAAUGAACGUUUGACAAUAACUUUUACGAAUUUUUAUACAACUCUCCACAAUGGAUCUCUGGGCUCUU